Molecule: transfer RNA, 82 nt
Filed under: Sundstroemia setigera
Lineage: Eukaryota; Bacillariophyta; Coscinodiscophyceae; Rhizosoleniales; Rhizosoleniaceae
Description: Rhizosolenia setigera tRNA-Tyr
Rfam family: tRNA
About the family: Transfer RNA (tRNA) molecules are approximately 80 nucleotides in length. Their secondary structure includes four short double-helical elements and three loops (D, anti-codon, and T loops).
Source: RNAcentral
GAAGAGAUGACUGAGUGGUUUAAAGUGGUAAAUUGUAAAUUUAUUGGGGAAAUCCCAUCAUAGGUUCAAAUCCUAUUCUCUU